This 497-nucleotide ribosomal RNA is filed under the name uncultured bacterium. RNAcentral describes it as "partial 16S ribosomal RNA". It matches the Rfam family "Bacterial small subunit ribosomal RNA", at positions 28 to 507 of the family's 1533-position model. The record is from RNAcentral.
GAUGAACGCUGGCGGCGUGCCUAAUACAUGCAAGUCGAGCGAACGGACGAGAAGCUUGCUUCUCUGAUGUUAGCGGCGGACGGGUGAGUAACACGUGGAUAACCUACCUAUAAGACUGGGAUAAUUUCGGGAAACCGGAGCUAAUACCGGAUAAUAUUUUGAACCGCAUGGUUCAAAAGUGAAAGACGGUCUUGCUGUCACUUAUAGAUGGAUCCGCGCUGCAUUAGCUAGUUGGUAAGGUAACGGCUUACCAAGGCAACGAUGCAUAGCCGACCUGAGAGGGUGGUCGCCGACACUGGAACUGAGACACGGUCCAGACUCCUACGGGAGGCAGCAGUAGGGAAUCUUCCGCAAUGGGCGAAAGCCUGACGGAGCAACGCCGCGUGAGUGAUGAAGGUCUUCGGAUCGUAAAGCUCUGUUAUUAGGGAAGAACAUAUGUGUAAGUAACUGUGCACAUCUUGACGGUACCUAAUCAGAAAGCCACGGCUAACUACGUG